UUUUCUGCCCUCCGUCCUGCCCCGUCCAUGAUGCUCUGCGGCCUCUGGAAGGGGGUGCCGUCGGCCCAGGGUUCCUGGUUUUAUGUUGCCAUGUGACUUUCUUCCUUUCCUUCUUAAGGAUGACAGGUGUUGAACAAAUAUUUAUUGAGUUCCUUCUAGUGCCAGACACACUGAGGAACAAGCACUGUGCCAAUUAGACGCUUGGCGACAAACAGUAGAAACAAAUUCUGAAUAACCUAAGCAAAAAAAAAAAAAAAGAAAAGAAAAAGCGGUGUUAAGCAGCUCGUAGAGGAGACUAGAGGUGGGAAAGGGGGUGGGGACGGAGGCAGAGCAUGUGUGGGCAAAGUCACGAAGGGGGAGAGUGACCGAGGGCCACCACGGCCACCACAGCUCCUCCAGCCUGCUGGUGCCCCACUGCGUCCGGCUGCCACUCAUUCUGCGCCACCAGGUCAGGAAUCCUAGUUCAAGCAAAACCUCCUGACUGGGCAAGGGCAGGGCUCGGCCCCCUGAAAGCUGCCAGGACCUGGGAUUUGGGUAGAAGCGGGCCAGAGCUUCAGCAGAGCAGGCGUCUUCUGGACGAGGAGCCAGGCUCUCCGCCCGCCACCCUUGAUUGGAGAAAAGAGGUGAGAUUUCUCAUACUGACGAAAAAAUGUGUUUUCUAAUGGUAUCUUUUAAUUUCCAUUCGGUAAUAAUUUCUGCCUGUCUACUAUGUUCCAAGCUUUUUAAGUACUUUGUUUUCCCGGGCUAAAGGUCAGAUCCAACCUGCAGCUGUGGGUCUACACCACAGCCACCGCAACGUGGGAUGUGAGCUGCGUCUGGGAUUUCCACCCAGCUCAUGGAACUCCUUGCUAGGUCCUUUGAAUUCAGACAUUCAAAAUGGUGAGUAUAGUCAGCACUUACAAAUUCUUUAGUGUUGGGCUUCCCCUGUGGCUCAUCGGAAACCAAUCCGUCUAGCAUCCAUGAGGUUGUGGGUUCCAUCCCUGGCCUCGCUCAGUGGGUGAAUGAUCUGGCAUUGCUGUGAGCUGUGGUGUAAGUUGCAGAUGUGGCUCAGAUCUGGCAUUGCUGCGGCUGUGGUGUAGGCUGGCAGCUGUAGCUCUGAUUCGACCCCUAGCCUGGGAACUUCCAUAUGCUGCAGGUGCCGUCCUAAAAAGCAUAAAAAAAAAAAAAAAAGAAAAGAAAAGAAAGAAAAAGAUUCUUAUUGUGUGCAAAAUAAUGUUUUGCAUCAUGCAAAUGAAACUAUCUGGAUGAUGUAAGAGAACAGUGUCUUGUUUCCUGCCUGCAGAGAGAAUAUAGUGUAUUUCUGGGAGAAAAAGCAGGCACUAAGCGGGACUCAAGGAUCACACGGAAAUCAUUGAACAGAAACACCGUUGCUGAGAACGAUAGUCUUUA
This 1389-nucleotide long non-coding RNA is filed under the name Sus scrofa (pig). RNAcentral describes it as "lncRNA (ENSSSCG00070027081.1)". The record is from RNAcentral. Lineage: Eukaryota; Metazoa; Chordata; Mammalia; Artiodactyla; Suidae.